AAAAACUCCUUCAUCUUUGACCCCCUACAUGUCCUAGUUCAAGAUACUAAAAUACCAAACCUUCAACACUAAUACUUAUUCUCUCAUUAUGUUAUUGUUCAUCAUCCACCUCCCUCUCCUUCUCCCAACCUCACGACACUUCAUUCCAUAGCAGCAAGCUUCAAAAUUUGUUUCUCUUUAAUCUGACCUCACACAUGUUUUUCUUUCAUAUUUAGUAGCAUAUGCCCCUCAAAGAACCACUAAAAGAAGAUAAAGAUCAAAUUUGGGAAUUUUCCAUAUGUCAAUACAUAGUAGAGGCAGAAAUAAUAGGAGCUAGGAGGAAUUCUUUAUGGUCG
Molecule: long non-coding RNA, 335 nt
Filed under: Cicer arietinum (chickpea)
Lineage: Eukaryota; Viridiplantae; Streptophyta; Magnoliopsida; Fabales; Fabaceae
Description: long non-coding RNA (CARI_LNC000332)
Source: RNAcentral